Long non-coding RNA from Triticum dicoccoides, 3165 nucleotides. RefSeq lists it as uncharacterized. The record is from RefSeq and is a predicted model, not a curated record. Lineage: Eukaryota; Viridiplantae; Streptophyta; Magnoliopsida; Poales; Poaceae. The transcript is spliced from 2 exons.
ACAUGCGCGGAACCUGCGCAGGAGCCGCCCCAUACUUUUCCCAUGUCCGUGGAGCGCCUCAUCGCCCGUUCACUCCAACCCGCGCCGCCCACUCUGCCUCACCUCUCCAGCGGUCCGGCCGCAGAUGUCUCCUCCCUGAGCACAAAGUGGACGCACGUGGGGCGGCCACUGGUGAAGGAGACCGCGCGCGAGCCCGCGGCGCCCUCACCUCCUCGCCUCUCCGGCCACACCGGUCUCAUUCCUAAGCAUGAAUUGGGUGCAGGCAGGGCGGCCGCCGGCGUGCGAGUCCGCGGCGCGGUGGUGGAGCCCUCCGGCCCCUUCCGGUUCGAGGUCCGCAAAGGUCUCCUCCCUGGCGUUGUUGGCCUUAUCUGAAGGUAUUCUUCCCUGUUCUUAUCUCAAUCUAUUCCGCCCCGCCCAACCCUCGAGGGAUUGCUUUCCUGGACGCCACAUCUCAUUGCUCGCACGAGGCCACUGCCUGGACGCGGCAGCCGUCGGUCCACUGGUCCUCGCACAGGCGCUCACACCAUAGCCAGCCCCAUCUGCCCACUUCUAGCGCGCGGACACAAUGAUCUGGAUGAGCUGCCGCCUCAGCAACUCGAGGCCACGCACGUCGUUUAAUUAGUUCAGCAAGGUAGGGUGCUAGAUACUAAUUGAAACAACAUCAGUCGAAGGUUGACAAAUAUUCAAACGCAUGAUGUGAUGUUCAUUAAUCUGUUUUUGCGAGUAAAGUGCGCUGGUUCUUCAUAGUUGUAGAUUUGCCGUGGAUCAACAGGUUAGCACAAGCUAGCCCUGAAUUCUUUUUUCUAAAACAAAUUUGUUGGUUCCUGAUUUUACAGGCAUGUACUGGCACCUAAUGAUGUGUCCAGAAUACACAGGGCACAUUUUGACUUGGAAUGCUGCUAUUCAACGGUGUUCAUCCGAGAUGUCAAUUUAGCAUAAGCUAGCCUUGUCUUUUUUGUUUGAAUCAAAUUUCUGGUUAUGAUUUUUUCAGGCGUGUUUUGUACUAUAUUGAUCUUGGUCUUGUUCUGUUCGCAGGGACACCUGACGAUGAAUCACAAUUUGUACUGCAAUCCAUAGACAAUAUGGACCCUAGAGCUCCUGGCGGACUUGAAGGUAUGUUAAUUCCCAUUGAUCCCAGAAGGAGAUGUGGUGCCAACAAACUCACUGAAAAUGAUUAUUGUUCAGACUAUUGCAGCACUGCAACCUGCUAGAUUUAAGUAUACAACUGUUUGCUUAGCGGUGAAUUACAUGAAAAAAUAGCAUCAUUCUAGAAGGUAUACAUCUUUGUUCAUUUUCAGGAUUGCUACCUUUUUUUGUUAUACCUCUCUUUGAUGAUUUGAUGUUGGUUUCACUGGCAUGGAACAUAGAACGAACAUAUUGACCGCUUAAUCUUUUAUAUAUGUUGAUCCCCAUGCUUUUCUCAGGGAGAGUAAAAAUAUAAUGGUUCGUUUGUGUAGAACCAAUUGCAUCUUGGAGUAGAGUAUGCUCAAGGUGGUUCACUUUUGGUUUUUGCAUUCCCAUGUGAAAUUGGGAGAGUGUCUGGAAAAAUAUGCAGUGUUGUGUAUAAAAAAAAUUAACACCGUGUAUUUAGGUUGCCAAUUUGUAAAAAAUUUAUAGCAGAUCCAAAUAGACAUCUGAUAUUAUACCUUCCAUCUAAUUGUUGGCACUUCCUUCAAAUAAGAACAUAAGCAGAACUUACAAACCGAAAUAUCUCAUAAAUGACUGUGUGUAUUUGCUUUAUGUAAUUUUCUUAUUAACUAAUCCCAUACAGUCCUGUUAGUGUAUAUAUAUCACGUGCUUCUCUGCUUCUACAUAGUCAUAUCCAUUUUUCACAAGCAGAAACUAUGUUAGGUUUAAUGGUUGCCCUGCGUCAUCGAUUCACCCAUGUGUUCUGUUUUCUGCCUGCUUUUGUUCACAAGCUCAGUUAUGCGGUGUCCUCUGUCUCAAACACCGAUGAUGACCGAUACAUGUGAAUUGAAAACUUGGUAUUUUGUCAAACUCUGGCAUCAUCCUCACUGCUUCAGCGGCACUGGCUGUCUCACCUGGUUCUUCACAGAAACCUCCCUGUACUAUAGCAUGUCGCCGAACCACUCGUUGUGGGAUGCUUAACACCGUGUUUGGAUGAUGCCACACAUGAUUCAGGGAAGACCCUGCCGCAUAUAUAAGCCCACUAAGCAGGCAUUAAUUUUCGUUUUGUUGAGAUAUCUGUUAGCUUCAUGCCUUCACCUUAAUGUAGCAGAAUAGUUAAUUACUGAUUUUGUAGGGAUCUUUUGUUGCGACUUUUUUCAUCUGACGAAGGAUUUAUAGUGGAUGCACAUCACUUUGGGUGGAACUAUCAGGCACACGACCAGUGAGCGGUGGCAGAAGCAACUUCUCCCUUGGACUGCAUGACAUGUAAGAUUAAAACCUUGAUCCUUGCACCCAUGCCUAUUUAGAAAAAAUAAAAUUGCAUGGCCGACCAUUAUUUUUGAUUGCUGUAAGUUGUGCUUAAUAACAUUUAUACAUAUUUAUUUGUAUGAAAAACACCAGCCCUUUCUUAGCAUUCAAUUUUGUUUGUUCUCACCUGUUAUCUUUGUAUGAUGACUUGACAAACGAUGGUAGACAACUAAGAUACAUACUCCUGAGAAUUUCUCUUGUAGAGCUGAAAAGAAGUCUCUGUGAUAUUGUUUUUCUUUUCAUGUCUGUGAAGGGCCUUACCAGGAACCAAGAUAUUUUUGCAGUGAGAAACCAUGUAUUUUUCCUUUAUCUUGUUGAUGAUUGUUUCUCAUACAUUUAACUUUAGAGGAAACAUGGACAUAAAGCUACAUGGGAACACUUGGUCCUGAAUAAAGUUUGUUUUAACGGAAUGUAUAUGUACUCGAAUGGAGGGAAUGAAAAUCUCAAUGAGAUGAAAUCUGGAGAUCAGAGAUGUAUCGCCUCAAUAGAAUGACAAGAUGUGGUCUCCACUCCGUGUGGUGAGAAGCACGUUUUCCUCUUAGCCCUAUGGCUUGACCGAUGCUUCUAUGUCUACCUGUACUCGAUGUGUUGAUGGCCUGAUGGGCAAGGCGUACUAAGGAUCUAGCGACAUCUUCAUGCAUAAUGCAUAAUGUUAUUUUUUGUAAUAGAGAAUUACAUGUACCACUUUUCAUUAUGAUAGUAUAUAUUUUACCUACUGGUGCAAGUUUA